Molecule: long non-coding RNA, 1054 nt
Organism: Lutra lutra (Eurasian river otter)
Lineage: Eukaryota; Metazoa; Chordata; Mammalia; Carnivora; Mustelidae
Exons: 3
Source: RefSeq, a predicted model, not a curated record
GGAGUCCUGAGAUAGAAAUUAGAAACAGCAAGACCAGCCAGAGGUCUGGUGUAACAAUAUUUAGGAGAAGCUGGAGUCUUGCUGCUGAACCGUCCGCUGUCAAUUACCGGCUCAAUUACGUAAACUCGGUAUUCUUAGACAAAGUGAUGGAUCCGCCCUCCCCUACCCCAGUUUCCAUUAAUCACAGAAAAGAGUACAGCCACGAAUCCGCUAACACCAAAGGAGGCAGCAGCUGGUGUGUACGUACCUAUCAGAUUUCGCCUGCAACCCCACUCCAGACCUCUAACGGAUGGAAACCGAGUUGAACUCAAGCUAAGACUCAAGCGAAGAUGGAUACAUUCGAAACUGAAGCCGGUAACAUAAGUAUCUCAAAAUAAGGACGAGAGACCUUCAUGAGGUUCAUGUUUUAAAGCUGCAGCACAGAAAUGCAACAGGUCUCUCUCUCAUCCAAAUAACCCCCCAUGAGAAACAAAGCUACUGGGGAUGUCCUACCAACCCAAUCAUUACACAUAAAAUCAAGAGUUCUUUUAAUACUCUUUUCGGAACUCGGGCAUUUACAGACAAUUCAUCUGUUACCCAAAGAAAGGGGAAUUCUUACAAGGAAAUGCCUGUGGUGUGAGUAGAAGACUAAAAGACCAAUGGAAAGACCAGGUCCCAGCCUUGGGUCUCCCCCCCCAGGUAGUUAGUUACACAGCCCCCAGAACAAAGCUUCUUCAUUUAAAUAUGCAACAAUUCCCCUUCGGUGAAAGGAGAAAUGUACUUGGUCUAUUCCGUCAAGUUUUUAGCGAGGACAAAACAAAUUGUAGUCUACGAUUUUAUCCAUGAUUUCUGAAAUUUGUGCCCAAAUCAAGGCGAUACCAUUCAAACGGAAAACGUCACUUUUGUUAAAUGAACUAGAAUGAGCUCACAGACAGACCCAGCUAAGGCUGAGCCAGCCCUUUUGCUUUUGAGGUCAGCAAGUAAUCUAAGACUGGAGAGUUUUCUCUCCGCUGCUUCACUUCCCCCGCUUCGAGUUUCCUUCCUCUAUCUCAGAGAGCUGGUAAAAAUCUUUUCC